UCGUUUAGUUUAACGGCGGGGUUUUGAACUCCAUAUACCCUGGUUUAGCCUCCGGCGUCGAAAGACAAGCAAUAUUAGGGUGAAAGAUCAAAAUCAACAUGGCCACGGCAUGGUUGCAGUUACAGAGAGUCCUCAGAAACGGAGGUGUUAAUUCAAUCUCCACACUCCCGCCUUCUUCGAAUUACUUCUCUUCUAGAUCCUUUUCCAAAUCAACACCCUACGUUGUCAAGGUUGGAAUACCGGAGUUUUUAACCGGAAUUGGAAAUGGAGUUGAAUCUCAUGUUGCUAAGCUUGAUUCCGAAAUUGGUGACUUCCAGAAGCUUCUUGAAACUCGAACACUUAAACUCAAGAAGCUCGGUAUUCCUUGCAAACAUGUAUAUAAUUAUAUCACCAGCAACUUAGACGUCUAUAGCCAUAUGAUUUCCAUCAAUUGCAGCAGGGAUAGACUAUGAGCUUAAUUUACCAUUUUUAAAUAGCAAGCACAAGAGAAUCUUAGAAUUAGAUGCCAGAUUAUUUUGUAUCUUACAAUUGUACAUCCAGGAUGCAUGUGCAUCAGAUAAGUCUGAGGUCUGUCGUCGACUCUAAUGUUGGAAAUAAAAUGAAUCCAUGCCAUAGCAGUCACUUCUUGUGAUACAGUUUUCUUUUUCAAUCCCACGACUUGUAGACCGGGACUCCGGGAGUUCAAUGAACUUUCCACUUUUGAGGAAGCUAAUAUUGAAAUAUGCACACAAGUUUAGGCUGGGAUUAUGGAGGCCGCGUGAGCCCAUCAAAGCAUGAUUAGUUUCUAUGUAGUAAGUAGCCUUUUGUUGUGAAAAACCAUAUUGGAAAUGUUUAGCCAGUGCAGAUAACAGUUCUUGACUUUACAUGAAAAGAGGAAGUCAUUGGCUCUGGAUACCUCCGAUCCUUUUUCAUCACAUUGACGUUUGUCAUUUGCACCAGUCAAGUACAAUGGACUUAUUUUAGUUUGACUCUUUUUUAUUGUCAUUUCAUAUCUCCAGCGAUAUCAUUUCAUUUUCUUUUUUAAAGCCAAUAAAUUCACGGCCUUUUUUGUUUUUGCAAAAAGAGAAUUAACUGAGGGCUAGAAGUUCACUUGUGUUGUAUCCCAUCCUUCCCUGUAUGCAGCAAUGGUUUUUGUGAGUUGCUUGGCAGAGUUAAAUACAAUGAAUUAUCUGAACUUGAAUAUGUUUAAGUAGAAGCCCAUUUGCUAAUAAGAUUUGAGAUGUUUCUUUCA
Non-coding RNA from Cicer arietinum (chickpea), 1231 nucleotides. The record is from RefSeq and is a predicted model, not a curated record. Lineage: Eukaryota; Viridiplantae; Streptophyta; Magnoliopsida; Fabales; Fabaceae.